RNAcentral lists this non-coding RNA (22 nucleotides) under Arabidopsis thaliana (thale cress). Lineage: Eukaryota; Viridiplantae; Streptophyta; Magnoliopsida; Brassicales; Brassicaceae. The record is from RNAcentral.
CUUGCCAAUGUGCAAUUGCAUC